This 61-nucleotide transfer RNA is filed under the name Onchidella celtica (Celtic sea slug). RNAcentral describes it as "tRNA-Gln". The record is from RNAcentral. Lineage: Eukaryota; Metazoa; Mollusca; Gastropoda; Systellommatophora; Onchidiidae.
UUCCUUUCGGUGUUUGGCACAGGAAAAUUUGAGUUUCCAGGAGAAUUAACUUCAAAGGAAA